RNAcentral lists this ribosomal RNA (253 nucleotides) under uncultured bacterium. RNAcentral's name for it is "partial 16S ribosomal RNA". It matches the Rfam family "Bacterial small subunit ribosomal RNA", at positions 524 to 776 of the family's 1533-position model. The record is from RNAcentral.
UACGUAGGGGGCAAGCGUUGUUCGGAAUUACUGGGCGUAAAGCGCACGUAGGCGGAUUGCUAAGUCAGGGGUGAAAUCCUGGAGCUCAACUCCAGAACUGCCUUUGAUACUGGCGAUCUUGAGUCCGGGAGAGGUGAGUGGAACUGCGAGUGUAGAGGUGAAAUUCGUAGAUAUUCGCAAGAACACCAGUGGCGAAGGCGGCUCACUGGCCCGGUACUGACGCUGAGGUGCGAAAGCGUGGGGAGCAAACAGG